UGGAUGACUGCAGGAGAAAUCCUGAGGAAAGUCCAUGCUUGCACUUUCUGUGAUGAAAGUAGUGUUUGUGCUAGAGGAAAAGAUAACUCUAGGCUGGGAGGAGUCCUAGACGGCAAGAGAAGACCUAAGCGAGAGUAUGGUGCUUCUCUUUUAAAGCUCCACAGUGACGAAAUCUAAGGGAAACUUUAGAAGUGAAACGUUGGAAAGCCCCACAAGCAAGAAACCUAAAUUAUGGUAAGGGAGGUUUUCAAAGUGAAAGAUAAACUUUGAAAGCAAGCGAAAGCUUAGAUAAAUUGUCAUCCUCGACAGAACAUGGCUUACAG
This 323-nucleotide RNase P RNA is filed under the name pig gut metagenome. RNAcentral's name for it is "Bacterial RNase P class B". It matches the Rfam family "Bacterial RNase P class B". From Rfam's summary of the family: Ribonuclease P (RNase P) is a ubiquitous endoribonuclease, found in archaea, bacteria and eukarya as well as chloroplasts and mitochondria. Its best characterised activity is the generation of mature 5'-ends of tRNAs by cleaving the 5'-leader elements of precursor-tRNAs. Cellular RNase Ps are ribonucleoproteins. The record is from RNAcentral.